Molecule: long non-coding RNA, 3305 nt
Filed under: Homo sapiens (human)
Lineage: Eukaryota; Metazoa; Chordata; Mammalia; Primates; Hominidae
Description: HSALNT0377765
Source: RNAcentral
GCUGGAAGUAAAAAUAAAAAGAUGGGUUGGAAAGGUGAUAAGUAAGGAAUCAGGAGAGAAAAAGAAUGAAGUAGUGAAAAACUGGUUGAUGAAUCAAGAAAAUGCUUUGGAUUUGCUUUUAGUAAAUGAGGGUGGGGAUUUAGGGGGUAUAGAGGAGACAACAUUGGCCACGUGGUGAUAAUAGUUGAAGUUGGAAGAUGGGUACUUAAAUAGUUAUCUCAGUCUUUACAGGCAGUAUGGAAUGUCCAUAAUAAAAAGUAAAAGCAAAAGUAAAGAAACUUAAGAGUAGGGUGACUCUAUAUAUCAAAUUGUCCAAGAUAAUAUUAGUUUAUGCCUGUUGCCCUUGCAAUAUCUAUUGAUAGUGUCUCCUUUGACUAUCAAAACUGGAGACAUCAAAAAUAAUCACAAUUCUGUGUCAAGUUGCAUCAGUCUUAUGAUAUACUUUAGUUUCUUUAUCUCAAAGUUAUUUACUAUUCCUCAUUGUAUUCAUCUUUACUCAUAACUUCAUUAGACUGAAAGAUUCUUGACUGCAGGGUUUAUGAUUUUCGUUCAUUUUAGUAUCCUCUGUAAUGCCUCAUAUAGCUCUAUGUACAAUGAAAAAUGGAAAAACGGAGGAGGGAUUGCAAAAUGUCUUGGAUUAUAAGUGAAUGCUACUAAAAUGUGUUCAUAUUGUAGUAUAAUUUUUAGAAAAGAAAAUUCAUGAAACACUGACAUCAUUUAAGGGUAUGGAGAGAAUAAUGUUGUUCUCUCCAGUUAGCUACAGGAGAGUCCCAAAGACAAAACGAAAUGCUUUCAGAAGAGAAAAUGAGAAUCUAUGCAGUUUAAAGGUCUUCCGAAAAGGAACUCUUUUCUUAUUAGGGCAAAAACCAUUGUAGAGUCUAGUAUUUUAGGAUCGCCAGGGAAGAGUCUGAGUGUUUGCUCAAAUAUAUUUACCAACAGUUUUUGAAAGUGGGGAAUUUCUGCACCUGUCAUACAGUCUGGCUGGCAACACUUAUCCAUUUCUUUUUCUAUUUAUUAAACAAGUCUUUAUGUGUUUGGAGCAUACAAAGUGCAGGACAUUGUGCUAGAUAUUAGAGAAAGAAAAUCAAAAUACAGAGCAUUAAAUAAAUUAUCAAUUUAGUGCAGAAACUGUGGCAGGAGCAAGAAUAAGCUUUAGGAGGUCAGUAAUAUUGUAUUCAAUAUUUUAUGUAUUUCAUGACUUUUUUUGCUGAGGAGAGUAUCCAUAUAUUUCAUCAUAGUCUCAAAUGACUGUCAAAAGUGAGGCUAGUAAGCACUGAGCAUGUGUAGAAACAAACAAAAAACAGAUAAUUAUAAUAUAAUAUGAUCAAAACCAGACAAAGUUUAUGCUUCAGGGAUCCUCACUGUACAGACCUCUAUAAAGACCCUGUAAGGGGCUCAGCAAUGGACUUUAUGAAAGUCAUAUAAUUAUGAGUAAUCAAAAUUAGUCACUAUACAAGAAAAAUCUCAAACACCCUGAAAUAUUACAUCGCAUACAUAAAAGACUUAAUAGAGGUUUUCUAAAAUUUGACAAUAGUAAAUUUAAUUAUUUAUCUCAUUACCAAUAACAAGCUGUGAAGCUGAAUUUUCUUUUCUAAACUAUUAAUAAUACAAAAUGAAUUUUUAUUAAACAUACUAGGGAAAGGCAAAUGCCUUUCAGUUCUUGCCGUAGAAAUUAUAACAAAAUAAUUCUCUUAAGGGAGGUAAUUAAAUAAGCAAUUUAAAAACUAUAGGGAAAAGGUAUCAUAAAAGUGAGUUAGGAAGUUGAUUAAUGUAAUACUGAGGGGAUUAAAUUUUGUGAUGUUUAUGGUGUUUUCAACCUUUUAAUAUUUAUAAUUUGUUGCAGCUUCUUUCUUAUGCUAAAUAAAUCCUCAUUUUCAUACUUAUUUUCUGCAAUUGUAACUUGGUAUUAUUUUUCUUAAAGUGGGCCCCUCAUCUUGUACGUGCAUCAGGCCCAAAAACUUAAUUUCACCUCUGACUGUGAUCAACAUAUUGAUGAAGACUGGCUAUGUGGAUGCUGGAAGAUGGGGAAAACUUGUUUCAAGCUGAACAUUAUCCUUGCCAUUAACUUGCUUAAAGAGGCUGGAUUCAUCUGGGCAGUUUUCACUGCUGCAAGUUAGGCACCUUAUUCCACAAGGUGCAAGUAGCAUGGAAGAGAAAAGCAAAGUUCAUAGGCAAAACUUCCAAGAACAAAGAUCUCUGAAUUGGGAUGAAAUUCUAACUGCCAGAUUUGCUCUCUAUAUCUCUCUUGAUAUGUUUUCUACUUACUAUGGAGUGACAGUUGUUGUGGAUGGGAGGAUUGAAAAUGGGAAGAACUAAUCAAAGAUAUAAUGUUGUGGAAAGGACUGAUAAGCUACACCAACCUGUGUCAUAUUAUUCUUUUUCUUGGAGCUCAGCAUGAGAGCAGGCAAUAACAGGAGAAUAACUUUAAAAAAAUCUUUAAAACCAGACUCAUUGUCUUCAUUCCUAGGACUUACAGAGACCAAAGCUCCUGAAGUACCAUCAUUCUACCAUGGAUACUGUGAAGUGGUACCACCGUAAAUCCAUGUCCUCUAAUGUCAGCGGACUAUCAGACCCAGUCAGAGAUGGGUGGAGGUGAUCCGUACAUUCCCUACAAAUUUUGGUGCCCAACGUGGGGCAUCCUUCACUGGCUGGAACACUGCUUGCUCGAAACUGCUGCACCUGAAAUCCUGGCCCUCUGACAAAAGGCCAGCAAAGGUAAGAAUUCUUAAUACUGUCAGUCUGCUGGAUCUCUGCCUGUGGAGAAUGGUCAAGGUGAGAGUGGUAAGACUCUUUUCUUCCUCUUUCCCUCUCUAAAUUUAGACUGGCAGGAGAAAAUAUUUAUGUGAACUAGUUUUGGGGGCAAAGUGACUUUGGUGUUUGUGAGUAGUCUUGUUUUCUAUUUGAUCUUUUCCCCCCAGAGUUAAUCUUUGCUUUCCUUUUGUCUUUUGGGGUAGUUUGUUAUAAGGGGGAAAAUCAUAUGAAGAUUCUCAUUUCAUCUUGUUUUAUGUCUUGAGAGCUUGGCUUUGUAACCAAGUGAGAAGUUCUCUCUCUCUGGUCUCUGCCACUUGGGGAACAUGAUUGUCAAGUCAUGUCUGGCAGCCAGCCAAAAGGCUGGGAACUUGAGAUGCAAAGUGACAAGCAGGACUCUCCUCGUCUGACUGUGCCAGCUCCCAGGGGUGUUUUCUCUUAAGAAGAAGCUCUAAUUUAUAAGCAGCUUUUGUAAUCUCAACCUUUGUUGCUUAGUGCAACAUGGAGGUCACACAUAAUGACCUCCAUUGUAUGUCCAUAUAUAUGUAAUUGUAUAU